CCUUCGAUAGCUCAGUUGGUAGAGCGGAGGACUGUAGAGGUGGCUUUGUGCUGACAUCCUUAGGUCGCUGGUUCGAAUCCGGCUCGAAGGA
Molecule: transfer RNA, 91 nt
Filed under: Oryzias latipes (Japanese medaka)
Lineage: Eukaryota; Metazoa; Chordata; Actinopteri; Beloniformes; Adrianichthyidae
Also listed under: 1 other name
Rfam family: tRNA
About the family: Transfer RNA (tRNA) molecules are approximately 80 nucleotides in length. Their secondary structure includes four short double-helical elements and three loops (D, anti-codon, and T loops). Further hydrogen bonds mediate the characteristic L-shaped molecular structure. tRNAs have two regions of fundamental functional importance: the anti-codon, which is responsible for specific mRNA codon recognition, and the 3' end, to which the tRNAs corresponding amino acid is attached (by aminoacyl-tRNA synthetases). tRNAs cope with the degeneracy of the genetic code in two manners: having more than one tRNA (with a specific anti-codon) for a particular amino acid; and 'wobble' base-pairing, i.e. permitting non-standard base-pairing at the 3rd anti-codon position.
Source: Rfam by way of RNAcentral